ACGUAGGGUGCAAGCGUUGUCCGGAAUUAUUGGGCGUAAAGAGCUCGUAGGCGGUUUGUCACGUCGGAUGUGAAAACUCGGGGCUCAACCCCGAGCCUGCAUACGAUACGGGCAGACUUGAGUACGGCAGGGGAGACUGGAAUUCCUGGUGUAGCGGUGAAAUGCGCAGAUAUCAGGAGGAACACCGGUGGCGAAGGCGGGUCUCUGGGCCGAUACUGACGCUGAGGAGCGAAAGCGUGGGGAGCGAACAGGAUUAGAUACCCUGGUAGUCCACGCCGUAAACGGUGGGUGCUAGGUGUGGGGAACAUUCCACGUUCUCCGUGCCGCAGCUAACGCGUUAAGCACCCCGCCUGGGGAGUACGGCCGCAAGGCUA
This 374-nucleotide ribosomal RNA is filed under the name uncultured bacterium. RNAcentral's name for it is "bacterial SSU rRNA". It matches the Rfam family "Bacterial small subunit ribosomal RNA", at positions 525 to 896 of the family's 1533-position model. The record is from RNAcentral.